CACCUGGUCUACGCAAAGAAUUAUGCUACAUCUUCUAAGUGCAAAUUGAACUGGGAUGCUGUGAUUACAGGCGUGAGCCACCGCCCCGGCCGUUGAUGUUCUUUUAUCACCCUUCUGGCCACCGCCUGGAGCACACGACAUAUAACCCACCGCUGGCUUGCUGAAAUCCCUUUUCAGAGUGAAAGCAGUAAACCUUUGUGCUCGUCUUUACAAAGUAAUAGCAGUUUGAAGUAAUUCUCUACAUUUUCGGCAUUGUUAUUACACGGAUAAUUGCUUCUCACCCCCAUUGUCAAAUCUUAAGUGGCAUAAAACAUUUCAAUCACAUGUAGCUUUCUGGAGCAACAGACUAUGGGCUGAGGAUUGAGGUUCCGGGAGCCACAGCAAGGCUAUCCGAUGCCAUCUUUCUGUCUCACUGCUGGAAGUCGAGAAUCACAGUGCUGAUCAUCAGAAACUGUGAGUUCAGAAACUCACUCUGGUCACUAGAAUUACUCUCCCCACUUUACCUCUGCUGCCCAGGAGAUCCCCGAGACCCGUCCCUUUUGUGGAGCUCCUGAUGGCAUCCUCACUAGUAGCCCCUUGGCUCACAUGGGAAUAUCCCCAGUUCAAGUCUCCAGGAGGAGCCAAGGAGUUUUGAAGGCAUUUCAAAGUUUGCAGUUUGUAUUCUGCUGUACCAGAGACAUCAUUGAAUCUUACAGCUGAUGCUACCUUCUUUCCCACACCUGGAUUCACCCAAAGUCCUGGAGAAUAGCACAUGGUGGAGAGAGACCUCUAACCAAUGUUCCCCUCUGAAAGAUAAGAGCAAGACACCUGGGGGAAAUGAGAACAAACCUGAACAUUGUGGCACAUCUACUUAUAAUAACCAAAAACUGGAAAUAAUCAGAUAUCUCUCCAUGAAUAAAUGGUUAAACAAAACAUAGUACAACUGACUAUGGAUUACUACUCCCAAUAACAAGGAACAAACUGUCCAUGCAUUCGACAACCUGGAUGUAUCACCAAAGAACUAUGCUGACUGAAAAUAAAGUCAGUUUCCAAAGAUUAUAUAUGUAUAGAGAUGUAUAACUCCAGCAAUUUCAAAGAAGUUUUCAAAGAAGAGCUUCCCUGCCACCCUCCUCAUAGAGCUAUUGACCUGGCAUCCUGGACUUUGAGGAACUAAGACUGUCACUCACUUAAAGCAAUUGCUUCUUUCACAUUCUUUCUUCUAAGACAAAAUUACCUGCCCUGUACUACCAAGGCAAAGGACUGCAGAUCAAGUAUGUUAAGUCAAAAGACUGCAGAUCAAGUAUGUUCAGUGUGCUUCCAUUUGGGAAAAGCCACUGAAUGGAAAAGCAAGUAUAUUUGUUAUGUGAUUCUGAUUACCCUGAUUAUAAUUUUCCUGGGACAUUUUAUUUUGCAGUAAAACCAUGCAACUUGAAAAGUAUAAGAACAACAUUUUAAAAAAUCAAAAACUUUUUAAAAAUUAAAAAGUCUUGUAAAAAAUAUAAAAACACAAAUAAGAAAAGCUUCUCAGAAUUAAAAUUGGAGACCAGAGGAAAAUAGUUCCUGUUGAUGAGUAAUUACAUAGGUGACAAUUUAACAGGGAAAAGCAAGAAAAAAAGAGUCUGUCACUAAUCAAGGGUAGCACGUGAUAUAAAACAGCAAACAGAUUGACUAGCCUUUGAGAGUAGAAUUCUUGACCAUCCCAUUCAGGGGCUAGCAAAGUAGCUUCUUAACUACUUUUUCCAUCCCUUAAACGUCUGGAGAGGCUCCCCUUUCUAACAUGUCUACCAAGCUGAGUUUUGUUUUUGUUUUGUUUUUUAACUUUUCAAUAUAGUCAUUUAAAUAAAUUAACCACUAAGCCCUAGGAUGACAGAAACAUGGGAUUACUAUUCUUAAACAACUCUGUUGUUAAUCUUCAAAUGUUGUCAUUAGUCAAUUUUCCCCCAUAUUGCAUCAGUUCUGGGCUCACUGAAGGAAGAAUAAUUUCUUGGAGAACAUUUCUACACAACUGAUGGAAAGGUGAAGCAGUUUAUAGAAUCACCAUUCUACUGACAGGUAAAUUCCUGAGAAGACUGGCUCUAGUUUGAGAAAAACCAAAUGUACUACCUCUCAAUAUCAGGUUAAUAUUAUUAACAAGUCAGAUUCCCAACUUGUGUAUACAUUGAUAGAAAUGAAAGAUUGGACUCAUUUACCACCCAAAGACUGACGUUUAACAUUUGAACACUUUUCAUCAGUGAAUCACCCUGUCAUUUUGGAGAAAACACACCUUCUCUGCUGAACUAGAAAUCAGGUUUUCACAUGUUUUUCAUGAUAGUUUUCAGAAUGCUUGUGUAAAGAUAACACCUAUUGGUCAUAAUACACUUCAAAGGUUUUUUUUUUUUCCUACUUUGUCUUCCAAUAAGUUGUCCCAUUGACACUAUUUUCUAACCACUCCAUGCCUUUGUUUACUCUCGGAAAAGAUAGUUCUAGUUUAUAAACCACUUGGACCAUCUUUCCAGGAACAUUCUUUAUAAAGUGCAAAGUGUUCUCAUUUGCAUUUUGUCCUGUUGGUGGGAGGCGAUAUGUUCAGGGAUUGAGUUUACAGUGGUAACAUGAACUGACUCUUUUCUAAACAUGAGGGAGACGCUCAAUCAUGCAGUGGCACAGAGUGACUCCAGCAGAAUAAAGCAGAGUUAUCGGGAUACUCUGUCUCGGGCAUUAUAAUGACUCUGUUGGUGACAGCUUGUCUACUGCCUGGUGGCAUUAAUAAAGAACACUGUUUCUGGGGGAAAUUGUUGUGUUGGCCUUGCUUUCAUGUGAUAUGCCAAGGUGUAGACCCCGUGCAAAUGAGUCACUUU
This is a long non-coding RNA of Rhinopithecus roxellana (golden snub-nosed monkey), 2813 nucleotides long. RefSeq lists it as uncharacterized. NCBI's taxonomy places the organism in Eukaryota, Metazoa, Chordata, Mammalia, Primates, Cercopithecidae. The record is from RefSeq and is a predicted model, not a curated record. The transcript has 7 exons.